Molecule: long non-coding RNA, 376 nt
Filed under: Homo sapiens (human)
Lineage: Eukaryota; Metazoa; Chordata; Mammalia; Primates; Hominidae
Description: HSALNT0384698
Source: RNAcentral
GCUUUGCCAGGCUACCGUCACAUAGCACUCCUGUCUCCCGUUUGACUUCAUAUAGUGAAAAUUGUCUAAAAGAUAAGGCAGGAGCUCUGGUUGACACCCCCCCUGCCCCCGCCUCAUAGAUCUCUCUCUAGAAGCAUUGGAAGAGGCCGUCUCAAAAAAGAAAAAUAAAAUAGAAGCAUUGGAGGAAAGAUGUGGUUUGUAGUGAAACAAAUUGGAAGUCAAGCUCAGCCUCAACCACUUACUUGCUUCUGACCUUGGCAUGAAGUUGCAGAAGCUGACCUGGGUCCUAACUGUAAAAUGCAGAGGAACUCUAUCCAUGAGGAAGCUUUGUGAAGUCGAUUCAUUGCUAAUGUCCCUGUAGUGUCCACCACAGGAA